GACUGAGACACGGCCCAGACUCCUACGGGAGGCAGCAGUGGGGAAUAUUGCACAAUGGGCGCAAGCCUGAUGCAGCGACGCCGCGUGAGGGAUGACGGCCUUCGGGUUGUAAACCUCUUUCAGUAGGGAAGAAGCUUUCGGGUGACGGUACCUGCAGAAGAAGCGCCGGCUAACUACGUGCCAGCAGCCGCGGUAAUACGUAGGGCGCGAGCGUUAUCCGGAAUUAUUGGGCGUAAAGAGCUCGUAGGCGGUUUGUCGCGUCUGCCGUGAAAGUCCGGGGCUUAACCCCGGAUCUGCGGUGGGUACGGGCAGACUAGAGUGCAGUAGGGGAGACCGGAAUUCCUGGUGUAGCGGUGAAAUGCGCAGAUAUCAGGAGGAACACCGAUGGCGAAGGCAGGUCUCUGGGCUGUUACUGACGCUGAGGAGCGAAAGCAUGGGGAGCGAACAGGAUUAGAUACCCUGGUAGUCCAUGCCGUAAACGUUGGGCACUAGGUGUGGGGGACAUUCCACGUUUUCCGCGCCGCAGCUAACGCAUUAAGUGCCCCGCCUGGGGAGUACGGCCGCAAGGCUAAAACUCAAAGGAAUUGACGGGGGCCCGCACAAGCGGCGGAGCAUGCGGAUUAAUUCGAUGCAACGCGAAGAACCUUACCAAGGCUUGACAUGUUCCCGACCGGGCCAGAGAUGGUCUUUCCCCUUUGGGGCGGGUUCACAGGUGGUGCAUGGUUGUCGUCAGCUCGUGUCGUGAGAUGUUGGGUUAAGUCCCGCAACGAGCGCAACCCUCGUUCCAUGUUGCCAGCGGGUUAUGCCGGGGACUCAUGGGAGACUGCCGGGGUCAACUCGGAGGAAGGUGGGGACGACGUCAAAUCAUCAUGCCCCUUAUGUCUUGGGCUUCACGCAUGCUACAAUGGCCGGUACAAUGGGUUGCGAUACUGUGAGGUGGAGCUAAUCCCAAAAAGCCGGUCUCAGUUCGGAUUGGGGUCUGCAACUCGACCCCAUGAAGUCGGAGUCGCUAGUAAUCGCAGAUCAGCAACGCUGCGGUGAAUACGUUCCCGGGCCUUGUACACACCGCCCGUCAAGUCACGAAAGUCGGU
Molecule: ribosomal RNA, 1091 nt
Filed under: Citricoccus sp.
Lineage: Bacteria; Bacillati; Actinomycetota; Actinomycetes; Micrococcales; Micrococcaceae
Description: bacterial SSU rRNA
Rfam family: Bacterial small subunit ribosomal RNA
Source: RNAcentral